GGGCGUAUGGUGUAGUUGGUUUAUCACGCCCGCUUUGCAUUCGUGUUGGUGGCUUGCGGGAGGUGUUGGGUUCAAUUCCCAAUGCGUCCA
RNAcentral lists this transfer RNA (90 nucleotides) under Pleurotus ostreatus (oyster mushroom). It matches the Rfam family "tRNA". From Rfam's summary of the family: Transfer RNA (tRNA) molecules are approximately 80 nucleotides in length. Their secondary structure includes four short double-helical elements and three loops (D, anti-codon, and T loops). Lineage: Eukaryota; Fungi; Basidiomycota; Agaricomycetes; Agaricales; Pleurotaceae. The record is from Rfam by way of RNAcentral.